RNAcentral lists this ribosomal RNA (429 nucleotides) under Chloroflexota bacterium. RNAcentral's name for it is "Chloroflexi bacterium partial 16S ribosomal RNA". It matches the Rfam family "Bacterial small subunit ribosomal RNA", at positions 355 to 776 of the family's 1533-position model. Lineage: Bacteria; Bacillati; Chloroflexota. The record is from RNAcentral.
UAGGGAAUCUUCGGCAAUGGACGAAAGUCUGACCGAGCAACGCCGCGUGAGUGAAGAAGGUUUUCGGAUCGUAAAACUCUGUUGUUAGAGAAGAACAAGGACGUUAGUAACUGAACGUCCCCUGACGGUAUCUAACCAGAAAGCCACGGCUAACUACGUGCCAGCAGCCGCGGUAAUACGUAGGUGGCAAGCGUUGUCCGGAGUUAUUGGGCGUAAAGCGACCGCAGGCGGUUUCUUAAGUCUGAUGUGAAAGCCCCCGGCUCAACCGGGGAGGGUAAUUGGAAACUGGGAGACUUGAGUGCAGAAGAGGGGAGUGGAAUUCCAUGUGUAGCGGUGAAAUGCGUAGAUAUAUGGAGGAACACCAGUGGCGAAGGCGGCUCUCUGGUCUGUAACUGACGCUGAGGCUCGAAAGCGUGGGGAGCAAACAGG